AGCAGCCGCGGUAAUUCCAGCUCCAAUAGCGUAUAUUAAAGUUGUUGCAGUUAAAAAGCUCGUAGUUGAAUUUCAGGGGUAGCAGGUCGGUCGUGCCAUCGGUAUGAACUGGUCUCGCUGAUCCCUCCCUCUUGACGAACUGUGAUGCCAUUAAUUUGGUGUCGCAGGGAAUCAGGACUGUUACUUUGAAAAAAUUAGAGUGUUUAAAGCAGGCUCACGCUUGAAUACAUUAGCAUGGAAUAAUGAAGUAGGACGUUUGAUCCUAUUUUGGUUGGCUUCUAGGAUUGACGUAAUGAUUAAUAGGGAUAGUUGGGGGCAUUAGUAUUCAAUUGUCAGAGGUGAAAUUCUUGGAUUUAUUGAAGACUAACUACUGCGAAAGCAUUUGCCAAGGAUGUUUUCAUUAAUCAAGAACGAAAGUUAGGGGAUCGAAGACGAUCAGAUACCGUCGUAGUCUUAACCAUAAACUAUGCCGACUAGGGAUCGGAUGAUGUUAAUUUUUUAAUGACCCA
This 509-nucleotide ribosomal RNA is filed under the name uncultured Glomus. Its description in RNAcentral is "SSU rRNA". It matches the Rfam family "Eukaryotic small subunit ribosomal RNA", at positions 569 to 1078 of the family's 1831-position model. Lineage: Eukaryota; Fungi; Glomeromycota; Glomeromycetes; Glomerales; Glomeraceae. The record is from RNAcentral.